This is a long non-coding RNA of Bufo bufo (common toad), 129 nucleotides long. RefSeq lists it as uncharacterized. The transcript is spliced from 3 exons. The record is from RefSeq and is a predicted model, not a curated record. Lineage: Eukaryota; Metazoa; Chordata; Amphibia; Anura; Bufonidae.
CCCGGCCGCUUCCCUCUGAGGACCCCGGAGGCUCAGGCUUCCCCCGGUAUUCGCUACAGCAUUCUCCUCACACCAGGCUGCGCCAUUUUAGGAGGGCUUCGUGUUCCCGGCGGCCAUUAUGGAGUCUCC